Molecule: ribosomal RNA, 387 nt
Filed under: uncultured Peptoniphilus sp.
Lineage: Bacteria; Bacillati; Bacillota; Tissierellia; Tissierellales; Peptoniphilaceae
Description: bacterial SSU rRNA
Rfam family: Bacterial small subunit ribosomal RNA
Source: RNAcentral
GGGGCGAAGAUAAGAUGGAUUAGCGGCGGACGGGUGAGUAACACGUGAGUAACCUGCCUUUUACACAGGGAUAGCCUCGGGAAACCGGGAUUAAAACCUGAUGAAACUAUCAAAUCACAUGAUUAAGAAAGUUAAAACUCCGGUGGUAAAAGAUGGACUCGCGUCCCAUUAGCUAGUUGGUGAAGGUAACGGCCCACCAAGGCAACGAUGGGUAGCCGGCCUGAGAGGGUGAACGGCCACAUUGGAACUGAGAAACGGUCCAAACUCCUACGGGAGGCAGCAGUGGGGAAUAUUGCACAAUGGGGGAAACCCUGAUGCAGCGACGCCGCGUGAGCGAAGAAGGCCUUCGGGUCGUAAAGCUCUUUUAUAUGAGAAGAUAAUGACGGU